Sinocyclocheilus grahami is the source of this 261-nucleotide long non-coding RNA. RefSeq lists it as uncharacterized. The transcript is spliced from 3 exons. NCBI's taxonomy places the organism in Eukaryota, Metazoa, Chordata, Actinopteri, Cypriniformes, Cyprinidae. The record is from RefSeq and is a predicted model, not a curated record.
GGCCCAACCACCUUCCUACUUAAAUCCAGAUUUCCUUCAAACAAUAAGGGCAAAUGGACCUUUUGAAGAGCAUCUGCAGGAGUCAGUCACCUAUAGCUGCCACAGAUGGAAGAAGUGAGGUUAAGCCUCAGAGACCGAAGUGAAAAGGCCUGUCCUCUGAUUUAUGACCUUCUGCUGCCAUCGGAUCUUCUCCUGCACCCGGACGCUUUUUGUGAAGCACCGAAACAGACCCUCUCAGAAACCCCCAAGAGUUUUAGGUUU